This 459-nucleotide ribosomal RNA is filed under the name uncultured bacterium. RNAcentral describes it as "partial 16S ribosomal RNA". It matches the Rfam family "Bacterial small subunit ribosomal RNA", at positions 338 to 795 of the family's 1533-position model. The record is from RNAcentral.
CCUACGGGUGGCAGCAGUGAGGAAUAUUGGUCAAUGGGCGAGAGCCUGAACCAGCCAAGUAGCGUGCGGGAUGAAUGCCCUACGGGUCGUAAACCGCUUUUGCACGGGGAUAACACCCUCCACUUGUGGAGGUCUGCAGGUACCGUACGAAUAAGGGCCGGCUAAUUCCGUGCCAGCAGCCGCGGUAAUACGGAGGGCCCGAGCGUUAUCCGGAUUCAUUGGGCUUAAAGGGAGCUUAGGCGGACGUUCAAGUCAGCUGUAAAAUCGCGCGGCUCAACCGUGCCCCGCAGUUGAAACUGGACGUCUUGAGUGCACAAGAGGCAGGCGGAAUUCGUGGUGUAGCGGUGAAAUGCAUAGAUAUCACGAGGAACCCCGAUUGCGAAGGCAGCUUGCCGGGGUGCGACUGACGCUGAGGCUCGAAGGUGUGGGUAUCAAACAGGAUUAGAUACCCCAGUAGUC